This 1367-nucleotide long non-coding RNA is filed under the name Parus major (Great Tit). Its description in RNAcentral is "lncRNA (ENSPMJG00000002562.1)". Lineage: Eukaryota; Metazoa; Chordata; Aves; Passeriformes; Paridae. The record is from RNAcentral.
UGAUACCUUCCUCCUAAGGGAAGUUCUGUGCUCUCCAGUAGGGCCCAGCAGGGGUCAGAACCUUCUGGUGGCGUUUCCUGUCACAAAUGAAGUCACUUUUUUCAUGUGUGGCCAAAGAAGUGUAGAUCUCUGAUCUAAGUGUCCACCUUGGUGAAUUUGGGUAGCUCAGUGCUCCCCACCUGGACCUUUGUACUCUGAAAUAGUUUUAAACUGACAGAGGGCAGGGUUAGAUGGGAUAUUGGGAAGAAAUUGUUCCUUGUGAGGGUGGGGAGGCUCUGGCACAGAUUAUUCCAUGGAUGCCCCAUCCCUGGAAGUGUCCAAGGCCAGGCUGGACAGGGCUUGGAGCACCUGGGAUAGGAGAAGGUGACCCUGCCAUGGCAGGGGAGGGACAGGACAAGUUUUAAAGUCCCUCCCAACCCAAACCAUUCCAUGGCUCCGUGCUCUCUGCACACCUGCCAAUCCCAGGGUGCUCUCCCAUUAACUGCAUUUCUGGUCUCCAGUGGAAAACCAGUCCAGCACUGACCUUAUUUUUCUUCUUGUGGUGUCUGUGCAAAUGCUGGAGCUCAGCCUGUUUGGAAAACCAGGCCCUGCUGGUGCUGGAAGUUCUGCCCCCGUGUUCAUCGUGGCAAAAUUGUCAUUUCCAUCACAUCUGGGGGGGAAAGGGCCAGAAGAUUAUGGAGAAAAAGAGGAAAUAUGUGGGCAGCAAGUGGGACACACCCAAAGGAAAGUUUGGUAGGAAUGAGGGGAGAAAGGGCAGAUUGUGCAGAGAUCACUUCUGCCUUCAGCAAAUGGAGAAUGAAAUAUCUUCAUCUGCAUUUUGGGAUGAGCAACAAUAAAACUGCAAUUCCAGCUUGGCUCCUCUGGGAAGGGUUGGAGCUCCUCUUCCCUUGAAGAUGAGCGUGGAAGGGCUCAGGAGCAGGUCCUUGGUGUUCUGCUGAGAACCCCAGAGUGCCACAGGUUCAGGGACAGGCUGUUCCAGGGCAGGAGACCCCUGUGACCCCCCAAAUUCAGGCACCAGAGCUGUCACUGCUUGUGUGGGAUGAGCUCUGUUCAUCACCUCACCCGUGUGAGGAGGACACAGAGCUCCCAACCCCUCUCAGUUACACUUUUGGUCUCCCUUGCCUUCUUUUGCUGAAGGUCCUGGAGCUGAUUUUUGGCUUUUCCAGAACUUCCAUCUGUUUUAUAAUCUUCCCAAACCUUCAGCUCCCCUCUUACCUCACCAGGUCGCCCUCAGGUGCACUGCCCAGGAGGUGUGAGGGUUCCUGUUCUCCCUGCAAGAAGAGAAAUUCUCAUUUGGAAAGGAAACAAAUCAGCCAAAUGUGCUGGGGAAGAACCAAGAAAAUAAUGGAAUUCUCUCCUGGCAAUCC